Molecule: ribosomal RNA, 356 nt
Filed under: Bradyrhizobium sp. 11LoS12_14
Lineage: Bacteria; Pseudomonadati; Pseudomonadota; Alphaproteobacteria; Hyphomicrobiales; Nitrobacteraceae
Also listed under: 8 other names
Description: bacterial LSU rRNA
Rfam family: Bacterial large subunit ribosomal RNA
Source: RNAcentral
AAUCAAGUGCCUUAAGGGUGUUCGGUGGAUGCCUUGGCGCUGAGAGGCGAUGAAGGACGUGCUACGCUGCGAUAAGCCGUGGGGAGCUGCGAAGAAGCUUUGAUCCGCGGAUUUCCGAAUGGGGAAACCCACCUUCGAUAGCCGGAACUCCAAGACCUUGUGUGUUGGGGUUCGACCAGAAAUGUGAGAAAUCAAACCGCGAGGUUUUGGAUUUCCGGUUAUCAAGAGAAGGUAUGAGACUUCUGAAUACAUAGGAGGUUUCAAGCGAACCCAGGGAACUGAAACAUCUAAGUACCUGGAGGAAAGGACAUCAACAGAGACUCCGUUAGUAGUGGCGAGCGAACGCGGACCAGGCC